RNAcentral lists this ribosomal RNA (429 nucleotides) under uncultured bacterium. Its description in RNAcentral is "bacterial SSU rRNA". It matches the Rfam family "Bacterial small subunit ribosomal RNA", at positions 355 to 776 of the family's 1533-position model. The record is from RNAcentral.
UCGGGAAUAUUGGACAAUGGGCGCAAGCCUGAUCCAGCCAUGCCGCGUGUGUGAAGAAGGCUUUCGGGUUGUAAAGCACUUUCAGUAGGGAGGAAGGCUAGCCGUCUAAUAGGCGGUUAGAUUGACGUUAUCUACAGAAGCAGCACCGGCUAACUCCGUGCCAGCAGCCGCGGUAAUACGGAGGGUGCAAGCGUUAAUCGGAAUUACUGGGCGUAAAGCGCGCGUAGGCGGUUUGUUAAGUCGGAUGUGAAAGCCCUGGGCUCAACCUGGGAACUGCAUCCGAUACUGGCAGGCUAGAGUACGGUAGAGGGGGGUAGAAUUCCACGUGUAGCGGUGAAAUGCGUAGAGAUGUGGAGGAAUACCAGUGGCGAAGGCGGCCCCCUGGACUGAUACUGACGCUAAGGUGCGAAAGCGUGGGGAGCAAACAGG